Molecule: long non-coding RNA, 1557 nt
Organism: Gossypium arboreum
Lineage: Eukaryota; Viridiplantae; Streptophyta; Magnoliopsida; Malvales; Malvaceae
Exons: 5
Source: RefSeq, a predicted model, not a curated record
ACAAAUACAGCACAUUCAUUUCCAUUCACAGUUCACCUCUUUUCUCUUUCCCAAACAUAAAGAAUCCAAAGCUCAACUAUCAAACUAUUUAUAACUCUUUUUUUCUUUUUUUCAAAUUGCCCCUUUCUUCAUCUGGAUUUUCACAUUCACCUAAUAACAUUUCCUUCUUCAAUGGACAACCAGUUUUCCCUCAAUGCACCACCAUUCCACGUUGAACCCUCCCUAUCAGCUUCCUACUACCUAUCUUCCGCCAUGGAUAUUCAUGCAACCGAGCUGAAUUGCUCCCAACAUUGUGAACAACCAACUGAUUAUUAUGGUCUACACUUCCAUUUUCCCCUGAGUUCAAUGCCAUCUCAAGUUGGUGGUUUUCAAGGGAACAACAACAACAUUUCUCCAUUGCAGGGUCGAUCAAAGUUUGUCACUUCUCAAAAUGAAUCAUUACUGAAUCCCAAUGCUGAUUUGGAAGCUUCAAAAUAUUGGAAUUCAAGGAAAAGAACAAAAACAGUGGAAACUUCAGCUUCACCAACAAUUGCUGCAAAGGGGUCUGAAAGAAACCAAGAAUCAAAUGAAAAACAGAGCAACACUAAUACCAAUACUAAGCCUCUAGAACCUCCCAAGGACUAUAUUCAUGUUAGAGCAAGAAGGGGUGAAGCAACCGACAGCCAUAGUUUAGCUGAAAGAGUGAGAAUCGUAUAUAUACUGUUCUGAAUUCAAGCAUGACCAACUGGGUUUUUCUUGCAUUUAACAAAGGCUAUAUAAAUUUGUCACUUGAUCAGGUCCGUAGAGAGAAAAUUAGUGAAAGAAUGAAGCUUCUGCAAGAUCUUGUUCCUGGUUGCAACAAGGUAAUUUGGAAAUGCCUUCAUUGUGAUAAGUGAAAACUUACUGAUCAAACCCUCUAAUUGCAGGUCAUUGGAAAAGCAGUUAUGCUGGAUGAAAUUAUAAAAUACGUUCAAUCAUUGCAGAGACAAGUUGAGUUCCUCUCAAUGAAGCUAGCUUCAGUUAAUAGCAGACUGGAUUUUAAGCUGGAUAGUGUCAUGUCCGAGGAUAUAUUUCAAUCAAACAACAAUUUUGCAAAUCCAAUAUCCACAAUAGAUUCCUGGGCAUCAGCCAUUUUUGGGCAGCAGCAGCAAAACCUUGCACUGCAUAGCAAUGUUUCUAAUGGGACAAUGACCCAAUGCUCAGUGAAGCCAAUGGAUACUGCAAUAUGGCCCCAACUUCAACACCCAUUUACCUCCAAUUAACUUCCCCGUAGCUAAUUUCAUUUUCACAAAAUCUUAGCCAGGAAUGGGGUUACAAUGAGAAAACUUCCAGGGGUCAAAUCAAGUAUCCCAUAUGAAAGUUGAGGUCUAAUAACCUUUACUUGGUCCUGGUUUGAAGUUCCAGAACUGCUGCUGUGCAAUGUAUAUACAAAGAAUAUUAUCCAUGUAGUGUAAAAUUUGUGUAUUUCCUGGUGCAAUAAUCUUAUAGCAAAAGCACCAACAUUAAGAUAUCAUGUAACAGCAUCUUUUAAUUAUAUAAGUGCAUCAAGGGUGGCAGUGGACUAGACCCUAUCAAUCA